CUUUACUGUAACCUGGAAUUGGGUUCGGGCUUUGCUUGCGCAGGAUAGGUGGGAGGCGUUGAGAUAUUCCUUGUGGGGAAUGUGGAGCCAACGGUGAGAUACCACUCUGGUGAGGCUAGAAUUCUAACCUUCACCCGUAAUCCGGGGAAGGAACCGUAUCAGGUGGGCAGUUUGACUGGGGCGGUCGCCUCCUAAAAGGUAACGGAGGCGCGCAAAGGUGUUCUCAGGCUGGUUGGAAAUCAGCCGUAGAGUGUAAAGGCAUAAGAGAGCUUGACUGCGAGACAAACACGUCGAGCAGGGUGGAAACACGGCCUUAGUGAUCCGACGGCGCUGCGUGGAAAGGCCGUCGCUAAACGGAUAAAAGUUA
RNAcentral lists this ribosomal RNA (367 nucleotides) under uncultured organism. Its description in RNAcentral is "bacterial LSU rRNA". It matches the Rfam family "Bacterial large subunit ribosomal RNA", at positions 2099 to 2465 of the family's 2925-position model. The record is from RNAcentral.